Molecule: ribosomal RNA, 564 nt
Filed under: Foenobethylus emiliacasellae
Lineage: Eukaryota; Metazoa; Arthropoda; Insecta; Hymenoptera; Bethylidae
Description: eukaryotic LSU rRNA
Source: RNAcentral
AAAGAUCGAAUGGGGAGAUUCAUCGUCAGCGGCGUUGGCCUCACGAUGGCUCGUGAUGUCGCGGGACUUCGGUCUCGGUGGCACGCGGUCGUCGCGUUACGUCCGACGUCGUCGGCGUGCACUUCUCCCCUAGUAGAACGUCGCGACCCGUUGGGUGCCGAUCUACGGCCCGGGUGGGCGUCUGUCGUGUCGUCUCAAAAGCGCACGCGACAAACCCCCGGUCGCCAGAUCGGCUGCCCGGCGGUACUCGCAUGGUAUCGGGCCGCAAUACUCGAACUGCGUCAAGCCCGUCGCAAGCGCGGUCAGUUUUGUCGCGGAGGUACGGACCUAGCGCCGUCCCCGUGCCUGGCCAGCUGUUUGUGUGUGAUACCGGUCGGCGACGCUACUGCUUUGGGUAAUCUCAGGACCCGUCUUGAAACACGGACCAAGGAGUCUAACAUGUGCGCGAGUCAUUGGGACCGCAUGCCUAUAGGCGAAAUGAAAGUGAAGGUCGGCCUCGUGCCGACCGAGGGAGGAUGGGCCGMGUCACGAUGCGGCUCCGCACUCCCGGGGCGUCUCGUUUCU